This 502-nucleotide ribosomal RNA is filed under the name uncultured bacterium. Its description in RNAcentral is "partial 16S ribosomal RNA". It matches the Rfam family "Bacterial small subunit ribosomal RNA", at positions 30 to 523 of the family's 1533-position model. The record is from RNAcentral.
AUUGAACGCUGGCGGCAGGCUUAACACAUGCAAGUCGAGCGGGGUGAUGGUGCUUGCACUAUCACUUAGCGGCGGACGGGUGAGUAAUGCUUAGGAAUCUGCCUAUUAGUGGGGGACAACAUCUCGAAAGGGAUGCUAAUACCGCAUACGUCCUACGGGAGAAAGCAGGGGAUCACCUGUGACCUUGCGCUAAUAGAUGAGCCUAAGUCGGAUUAGCUAGUUGGUGGGGUAAAGGCCUACCAAGGCGACGAUCUGUAGCGGGUCUGAGAGGAUGAUCCGCCACACUGGGACUGAGACACGGCCCAGACUCCUACGGGAGGCAGCAGUGGGGAAUAUUGGACAAUGGGGGAACCCUGAUCCAGCCAUGCCGCGUGUGUGAAGAAGGCCUUAUGGUUGUAAAGCACUUUAAGCGAGGAGGAGGCUCUUUUGGUUAAUACCCAAGAUGAGUGGACGUUACUCGCAGAAUAAGCACCGGCUAACUCUGUGCCAGCCGCCGCAGUAA